This 403-nucleotide ribosomal RNA is filed under the name Actinomycetes bacterium. RNAcentral describes it as "Actinobacteria bacterium partial 16S ribosomal RNA". It matches the Rfam family "Bacterial small subunit ribosomal RNA", at positions 355 to 775 of the family's 1533-position model. Lineage: Bacteria; Bacillati; Actinomycetota; Actinomycetes. The record is from RNAcentral.
UGGGGAAUAUUGGACAAUGGGCGCAAGCCUGAUCCAGCCAUGCCGCGUGAGUGAUGAAGGCCCUAGGGUUGUAAAGCUCUUUCACCGGUGAAGAUAAUGACGGUAACCGGAGAAGAAGCCCCGGCUAACUUCGUGCCAGCAGCCGCGGUAAUACGAAGGGGGCUAGCGUUGUUCGGAUUUACUGGGCGUAAAGCGCACGUAGGCGGACUAUUAAGUCAGGGGUGAAAUCCCCGGCUUCAACCCCGGAACUGGCUUUGAUACUGGUAAUCUUGAGGUCGAGAGAGGUGAGUGGAAUUCCGAGUGUAGAGGUGAAAUUCGUAGAUAUUCGGAGGAACACCAGUGGCGAAGGCGGCUCACUGGCUCGAUCCUGACGCUGAGGUGCGAAAGCGUGGGGAGCAAACAG